UGAAGGUUUCUCAGCUUCUGAAUCUGGUUUCACUGUUUUCUUAGCUGGUUCAUUGAUAUGAGUUUCCUCUAAAGGUUUCUGAGCUUCUGACUCUACUAUCACUGUUUCCUUAGCUGGUUCAUUGAUAAGAGUUUCCUCUGAAGGUUUCCUAGCUUCUGACUCUACUAUCACUGUUUCCUUGGCUGGUUCAUUGAUAAGAGUUUCCUCUGAAGGUUUCCUAGCUUCUGACUCUACUAUCACCGUUUCCUUAGCUGGUUCAACGAUAAGAGUUUCCUCUGAAGGUUUCUUAGUUUCUGACUCUAUUAUCAAUGUUUCCUUAGCUGGUUCAAUGGCAAGAGUUUCCUCUGAAGGUUUCUGAGCCU
RNAcentral lists this long non-coding RNA (362 nucleotides) under Glycine max (soybean). RNAcentral describes it as "long non-coding RNA (GMAX_LNC001704)". The record is from RNAcentral. Lineage: Eukaryota; Viridiplantae; Streptophyta; Magnoliopsida; Fabales; Fabaceae.